Pelobates cultripes (western spadefoot toad) is the source of this 220-nucleotide non-coding RNA. The record is from the annotation of a GenBank genome assembly. Lineage: Eukaryota; Metazoa; Chordata; Amphibia; Anura; Pelobatidae.
AUAGAAAAUAGGAAAAACAGAAUGGUCAGACAAGCCAAGGCCAGGGUAGGAGAAGUACGGAUAAACGUUAAUCAAAGCCAAGGGUCAGGGAAAACCAGAAAUACAGAAAAUCAGAGACAAGCCGAAGUCAGAUAACAGGACAAGUUAACAGAAUGCACUCUUGGGCUACAAUAAACCACGACAGGGCAAGGAAGUGAUGUAAGAGGGAGGUAUAAAUAGG